Molecule: transfer RNA, 52 nt
Filed under: Meunieriella aquilonia
Lineage: Eukaryota; Metazoa; Arthropoda; Insecta; Diptera; Cecidomyiidae
Description: tRNA-Leu
Source: RNAcentral
AUUUAUAUGUCAGAAUUAAUGAAAUGAACUUAAAAUUCAUUUAUAAGAAAUU